RNAcentral lists this ribosomal RNA (227 nucleotides) under Aplanochytrium sp. PBS07. RNAcentral's name for it is "partial Bacterial small subunit ribosomal RNA". It matches the Rfam family "Bacterial small subunit ribosomal RNA", at positions 37 to 253 of the family's 1533-position model. Lineage: Eukaryota; Bigyra; Thraustochytrida; Thraustochytriidae. The record is from RNAcentral.
UGGUGGCGUGCCUAAUACAUGCAAGUCGAGCGAACCAAUAAGAAGCUUGCUUUUUGUUGGUUAGCGGCGGACGGGUGAGUAACACGUGGAUAACCUACCUAUAAGACUGGGAUAACUUCGGGAAACCGGAGCUAAUACCGGAUAAUAUAUUGAACCGCAUGGUUCAAUAGUGAAAGACGGUUUUGCUGUCACUUAUAGAUGGAUCCGCGCCGCAUUAGCUAGUUGGU